This is a non-coding RNA of Onychostoma macrolepis, 640 nucleotides long. Lineage: Eukaryota; Metazoa; Chordata; Actinopteri; Cypriniformes; Cyprinidae. The record is from the annotation of a RefSeq genome assembly.
AAAAAAUAUGAGAUGUAUCUAACAGCAGGUAAUUUUUAUUUCAGGACUUACAGGGUAAGUUACAUUAAUGAGUGUAAUUGGCUCUUUUACCCAGGGUGAAUAAAAUGGCUCAGAGAGGAGGGACUGUUCACAGAUCUGACAUGAUGUAAUGUCUGACAGAGACUGUGGUGGAAACUAUUCAGUCUGACUCUUCUCAGAGUGAACACUUGUACAAUGGAUCUUCAUUUAGUUAUGCUGUUCUGUGCCUCAGCAGCUGCUGUCUUUGGAAAUGUCAUCAAACCAAACAAAACAGACAUUUUAGAGAUGGAAGGUUCAAAUAUUACAUUGUCCUGUAUUUAUUCCUCUUCAACUACUGAUACUCUCCACUGGUACCGUCAGUAUGGAAGAUCACAACCUGAAUUUCUUGUACUCACCUACAGCAAUGCAAAAGACGCUAAAGAGUCUGAUGUUGAUCCAAGAUUCUCUGUUAAAGCUGAAAAAAAGGAACAAAUCCAUGUCUAUCUGGAGAUCUCCUCUGCUGCUGUAUCAGACUCUGCUCUGUACUACUGUGCUCUGGCGCCCACAGUGACAGGAAACACAUCAGCUCUCUACAAAAACCUGUUACUAUGAGAGACAAGAGAGAAACACACAGAGAAAAGAC